This 261-nucleotide ribosomal RNA is filed under the name uncultured bacterium. Its description in RNAcentral is "partial 16S ribosomal RNA". It matches the Rfam family "Bacterial small subunit ribosomal RNA", at positions 524 to 776 of the family's 1533-position model. The record is from RNAcentral.
UACGUAGGGCGCAAGCGUUGUCCGGAAUCAUUGGGCGUAAAGAGCUCGGUAGGCGGCCCGUUGCGUCCGCUGUGAAAUCCCGGGGGCUUAACCCCGGGCGUGCAGUAGGAUACCGGGGCUGGCUGGAGGCAGGCAGGGGAGAACGGAAUUCCCGGUGUGAGCGGUGAAAUGCGCAGAUAUCGGGAGGAACACCGGUGGCGAAGGCGGGUUCUCUGGGCCCUGUACUGACGCUGAGGAGCGAAAGCGUGGGGAGCGAACAGG